This 69-nucleotide transfer RNA is filed under the name Rhynchocyon chrysopygus (golden-rumped elephant shrew). RNAcentral's name for it is "tRNA-Ser". It matches the Rfam family "tRNA". Rfam says of the family: Transfer RNA (tRNA) molecules are approximately 80 nucleotides in length. Their secondary structure includes four short double-helical elements and three loops (D, anti-codon, and T loops). Lineage: Eukaryota; Metazoa; Chordata; Mammalia; Macroscelidea; Macroscelididae. The record is from RNAcentral.
AAGAAAGUCGUAAAGGUUACGUAGUUGACUUGAAAUUAACUUUUGAAGGUUCAAUUCCUUCCUUUCUUG